UUAAGACUUGUUUUGGAGGUGCGGAUGGACCCUGGGGACAUGGCAGUGCCUGGCCCGGUGCUCUGCCUCUUUGACGUGGAUGGGACCCUGAUGGCCCCGCGGCAGAAAAUUACCAAAGAAAUGGAUGGCUUUCUACAAAAAUUGAGGCAGAAGAUCAGAAUUGGAGUGGUAGGCAGGUCAGGCUUUGAGAAAGUGCGGGAACAACUGGGAAACGAUGUGGUUGAAAAUACAAUUGUGUUUCCAGAAAAUGGCUUGGUAGCAUACAAAGAUGAGAAACUCUUGUAUAAACAGAAUAUUCAGGGUCACCUGGGUGAGGCCCUAAUCCAAGAUUUAAUCAACUACUGUCUGAGCUACACUUCGAAAAUAGAACUCCCAAAGAAGAGGGGUACUUUCAUUGAAUUCCGAAAUGGGAUGUUAAAUGCGUCCCUUACUGGAAGAAGCUGCAGCCAAGAAGAACGCAUUGAGUUCUACGAACUUGAUAAGAAAGAAAACAUAAUUUAAAAAUUUGUAACAGAUCUACAGAGUUUGCAGGAAAAGGCCUCAUGUUUUCCACAGGAGGCCAGAUCAGCUUUGAUGUCUUUCCUGAUGGAUGAGACAAAAUGUAUUGCCUACAACAUGUGCAAAAUGACGGUUAUAAGACCAUUUAUUUCUUUUGAGAUAAAACCAUGCCAGGUGGCAAUGACCAUGAGAUCUUCACAGACCCAAGAACCGUGGGCUACGCUGUGGCAGUGCCCAAGGAUACAUGCAGGCUCUGUGAAGUGCUCUUCUCCUGACUUGGCAAAGGAGGGGUCCUGGCCAAUAAGCCCGAGCUGAGUGCCCUCUCUCCCAUGCAA
Molecule: RNA transcript, 833 nt
Organism: Galeopterus variegatus (Sunda flying lemur)
Lineage: Eukaryota; Metazoa; Chordata; Mammalia; Dermoptera; Cynocephalidae
Gene name: phosphomannomutase 2-like
Exons: 1
Source: RefSeq, a predicted model, not a curated record